Molecule: non-coding RNA, 147 nt
Organism: Giardia lamblia ATCC 50803
Lineage: Eukaryota; Fornicata; Diplomonadida; Hexamitidae
Source: Rfam
CUUUGCAACGGCACUUGUAACGAAAAAGUAAAUCGAGGCUGCUAAAACACAGGGCUGCACAGCAUCCUUGCACCUGCGUAGCCGAUAGGUACGGGUGACCGUUUAUCCCGGGCUCGUGUGGGCCCGGGUAGGCACGGUCAAAGAGUU